RNAcentral lists this ribosomal RNA (256 nucleotides) under uncultured Anoxybacillus sp. RNAcentral's name for it is "partial 16S ribosomal RNA". It matches the Rfam family "Bacterial small subunit ribosomal RNA", at positions 1130 to 1382 of the family's 1533-position model. The record is from RNAcentral. Lineage: Bacteria; Bacillati; Bacillota; Bacilli; Caryophanales; Anoxybacillaceae.
GUUGGGCACUCUAAGGUGACUAGCCGGGCUAAAAGUCGGAGGAAGGUGGGGAUGACGUCAAAUCAUCAUGCCCCUUAGUGACCUGGGCUACACACGUGCUACAAUGGGCGGUACAAAGGGUCGCGAACCCGCGAGGGGGAGCCAAUCCCAAAAAGCCGCUCUCAGUUCGGAUUGCAGGCUGCAACUCGCCUGCAUGAAGCCGGAAUCGCUAGUAAUCGCGGAUCAGCAUGCCGCGGUGAAUACGUUCCCGGGCCUU